RNAcentral lists this ribosomal RNA (440 nucleotides) under uncultured bacterium. Its description in RNAcentral is "partial 16S ribosomal RNA". It matches the Rfam family "Bacterial small subunit ribosomal RNA", at positions 338 to 795 of the family's 1533-position model. The record is from RNAcentral.
CCUACGGGGGGCAGCAGUGGGGAAUAUUGCACAAUGGGGGAAACCCUGAUGCAGCGACGCCGCGUGAGUGAAGAAGUAAUUCGUUAUGUAAAGCUCUAUCAGCAGGGAAGAAAAUGACGGUACCUGAGUAAGAAGCCCCGGCUAACUACGUGCCAACAGCCGCGGUAAUACGUAGGGGGCAAGCGUUAUCCGGAUUUCCUGGGUGUAAAGGGAGCGUAGUCGGCAGUGCAAGUCUGGAGUGAAAGGCGGGGGCGCAACCCCCGGACUGCUCUGGAAACUGGACGGCUGGAGUGCAGGAGAGGUAAGUGGAAUGCCUGGUGUAGCGGUGAAAUGCGUAGAUAUUAGGAGGAACACCAGUGGCGAAGGCGGCUUACUGGACUGUAACUGACGUUGAGGCUCGAAAGCGUGGGGAGCAAACAGGAUUAGAUACCCGAGUAGUC